This 353-nucleotide unclassified non-coding RNA is filed under the name soil metagenome. RNAcentral's name for it is "partial contains 5.8S ribosomal RNA, internal transcribed spacer 2, and large subunit ribosomal RNA". The stretch from base 1 to 120 matches the Rfam family "5.8S ribosomal RNA", at positions 35 to 154 of the family's 154-position model. The record is from RNAcentral.
GAUGAAGAACGCGGUGAAAUGCGAUAAGUAAUGUGAAUUGCAGAAUUCAGUGAAUCAUCGAAUCUUUGAACGCACAUUGCGCCCGCCAGUAUUCUGGCGGGCAUGCCUGUUCGAGCGUCAUUACAACCCUCAGGCCCCCGGGCCUGGCGUUGGGGAUCGGCGGAAGCCCCCUGCGGGCACAACGCCGUCCCCCAAAUACAGUGGCGGUCCCGCCGCAGCUUCCAUUGCGUAGUAGCUAACACCUCGCAACUGGAGAGCGGCGCGGCCACGCCGUAAAACACCCAACUUCUGAAUGUUGACCUCGAAUCAGGUAGGAAUACCCGCUGAACUUAAGCAUAUCAAUAAGCGGAGGA